CCCUUAGAUGUUCUGGGCCGCACGCGUGCUACACUGAGUGGAUCAGCGGGUCAGGUUGCGCGAAAGUGUUUCCUAAUCUUGAAAUCCGCUCGUGAUGGGGAUUGACGGUUGCAAUUUUCCGUCAUGAACGAGGAAUACCUUGUAAGCGCGGGUCAUCAUCCCGCGCUGAAUACGUCCCUGCCCUUUGUACACACCGCCCGUCGCUCCUACCGAUUGAGUGGUCCGGUGAGGCUUUGGGAUCUGAGCAAAAAGAGCGUUUCGCUCGUUUGGCUCGGAAAACUCAGUCGAACCUUAUCAUUUAGAGGAAGGAGAAGGCGUAACA
RNAcentral lists this ribosomal RNA (322 nucleotides) under uncultured eukaryote. RNAcentral's name for it is "partial 18S ribosomal RNA". It matches the Rfam family "Eukaryotic small subunit ribosomal RNA", at positions 1470 to 1796 of the family's 1831-position model. The record is from RNAcentral.